This is a long non-coding RNA of Juglans regia (Persian walnut), 783 nucleotides long. RefSeq lists it as uncharacterized. NCBI's taxonomy places the organism in Eukaryota, Viridiplantae, Streptophyta, Magnoliopsida, Fagales, Juglandaceae. The transcript has 3 exons. The record is from RefSeq and is a predicted model, not a curated record.
UCGAACACCAUCUCCUUCGUUAAAAGCCUCUCUUUAUCGGAGGUCUAAACCUUGCCAGUCCGAAGAUGAACACGUGGUCGGCAAUGGUUUCCUCAAGAUUGCUUCUUUUCAGCCCUGCUAUUUUCAUGCUAAUUGCUGUAGUCGUCGGGCAGCCAGCCUUUGAUCUAAACUCUUUCUGUUCAACCGGAGAGAGCGACUGCACUGCUAAACGUACAUCCGACGCAUGCUUCCAACAUCACCUCCGCCGCUCAUCCCUGUCAUCCUACUCAAAUGGUUCUCCCCACAUCCAUUUGAGAUUACCCCACUCGAACGGCUCCAAUAUUGUUGAUUUAUUCAUGUGGAACACGCCAUUUUGUAAACAGAUUUUAGAUUAACUGUGGUACUCAAAACAUCCGGAAAAUAUAGGAUUUCAUGGAGGAGCCCACCUCGUGCUGCAGCAGCACUUGGUUUCUACCACACCUGCACUGGAGAGGACUCCGAUAUAGUCUAUGGACAGGCGCUUCGUAGAGGGGAUGUCAACUCCACAGUUUGUCGGAUUUGUAUACAGACUGCAACCAAGGAAAUCUUAAAGCAGUGCGUAAGUGAAGAUGCUAUGAUAUGGUUUGAACUCUGUUUGGUCCGGUAUGACUCGGUUCAAUCGGUUUACAUGAGUGGUUCUUUUACCACCGGUAAGUUCAUAAACCGACGGUACAACGCAAGUUUUCACUGGUUGCUCGACGCCCUCCGGCCCCUCCCAGCUUCUCAAGGCAACAAACACCCAAAAAGAUUGAAGCACCAAAAACU